RNAcentral lists this ribosomal RNA (305 nucleotides) under uncultured bacterium. Its description in RNAcentral is "bacterial SSU rRNA". It matches the Rfam family "Bacterial small subunit ribosomal RNA", at positions 333 to 636 of the family's 1533-position model. The record is from RNAcentral.
GGAUUCCUACGGGGGGCAGCAGUGAGGAAUAUUGGUCAAUGGUCGGGAGACUGAACCAGCCAAGCCGCGUGAGGGAUGAAGGUACAGAGUAUUGUAACCCUCUUUUGUCAGGGAACAAAGGCGGGGACGCGUCCCCGGAUGAGUGUAUCUGAAGAAAAAGCAUCGGCUAACUCCGUGCCAGCAGCCGCGGUAAUACGGAGGAUGCGAGCGUUAUCCGGAUUUAUUGGGUUUAAAGGGUGCGCAGGCGGUCUGUUAAGUCAGCGGUCAAAGUCCGGGGCUCAACCCCGGCCCGCCGUUGAAACUGG